UGCGUAGGCGGGCUAAUAAGUCAGUGGUGAAAUCUCUCGGCUCAACCGGGAAACUGCCAUUGAUACUGUUAGUCUUGAGUUUGGUUGAGGUAGGCGGAAUGUGUAAUGUAGCGGUGAAAUGCUUAGAUAUUACACAGAACACCAAUUGCGUAGGCAGCUUACUAGACCGACACUGACGCUGAGGCACGAAAGCGUGGGGAGCGAACAGGAUUAGAUACCCUGGUAGUCC
This 229-nucleotide ribosomal RNA is filed under the name uncultured bacterium. RNAcentral's name for it is "partial 16S ribosomal RNA". It matches the Rfam family "Bacterial small subunit ribosomal RNA", at positions 568 to 796 of the family's 1533-position model. The record is from RNAcentral.